Molecule: ribosomal RNA, 495 nt
Filed under: uncultured bacterium
Lineage: Bacteria
Description: partial 16S ribosomal RNA
Rfam family: Bacterial small subunit ribosomal RNA
Source: RNAcentral
GACGAACGCUGGCGGCGUGCCUAAUACAUGCAAGUAGAACGCUGAAGGAGGAGCUUGCUUCUCUGGAUGAGUUGCGAACGGGUGAGUAACGCGUAGGUAACCUGCCUGGUAGCGGGGGAUAACUAUUGGAAACGAUAGCUAAUACCGCAUAAGAGUAGAUGUUGCAUGACAUUUGCUUAAAAGGUGCAAUUGCAUCACUACCAGAUGGACCUGCGUUGUAUUAGCUAGUUGGUGGGGUAACGGCUCACCAAGGCGACGAUACAUAGCCGACCUGAGAGGGUGAUCGGCCACACUGGGACUGAGACACGGCCCAGACUCCUACGGGAGGCAGCAGUAGGGAAUCUUCGGCAAUGGACGGAAGUCUGACCGAGCAACGCCGCGUGAGUGAAGAAGGUUUUCGGAUCGUAAAGCUCUGUUGUAAGAGAAGAAUGAGUGUGAGAGUGGAAAGUUCACACUGUGACGGUAUCUUACCAGAAAGGGACGGCUAACUACGUG